CUCUGGUAAUUGUCUUUCUUAAUGUUUUUUAAAUCAUUUAUUUUUAAAUGGCUCACAAACAGUGUUUGAGUUGAUUUUGUAGUAACCGGAACCGACCCGACUCGCAGGGUAAUUAACAUUGCGGGGGAAGUUUUUGUGUGUGAUAUAGGGUUAGAUUCAUAAUUCUGUUAGUUCAUAAUUCUGUUAAUUCUUGUUAAAGAAUAAAAUGUUUAUAAACACACAUACAUGAAUGUGAUAUAAAUGUAUAUAAUCAUAUAACACACACAACUCUGCUCUAAGAUCUUUGGCGAGAAGGAGGGAGGGAGCGGGGCCGAGCGCUGAGGGAACUGAUAGAGGGGGAGGGAGCGGGGUCGCGCCUGCGCCGUCGCCCCGCCCUCCCUAGCAACCAAAGAUCCUAUAGCAACAGGGCCGCAUCUACUUCCGCAUCCGGUUCCGGCUGCUGUUGCUUGGAGACGGAGCAAAGAUCAUAGAGCGGAGCAAGAUGCUCCACUCCGACGUAAACCAACCAAAGAUCAUAUAGCACAGAGAGAUAUAGGUCAUUUGGAAGAGUGGGUUGAAACAUGACAGAUGGGUUUAAUGUUGAUAAGUGUGAGAUGAUACAUCUUGGCAGGACAAAUCAAAAUUGGACGUACAUGAAUUAAAAACCAAGGGGUGCUGGCACAGAGUCCCAAUCUCGACUUUCCAAUCCAUUCUGUGAAAGCGGGGGACUGGGAUCUUGUAAAAUCGUGGAAGGAAGAAAAGUUGCAACCCCGUUGACCACGGAAACAGCUGUGCAGCCAAAAGAAAAAGGGUGGACACACGCAGUGCGAAUAAAGGGACCGGUGGAACCUCCGGCUGAGGAGGAGUGGACAGUAAGACAAGGAAAGAAACCACUGACUCUGAUCUUUGAGAAAGAGCGAUUGAAAUAAGAAAUAAAAUGCAGUGCUUGGCACUUGUGCUAAUGAUGGUAAUCACUGUAAGUAAAUGUGGACUGGAUCAACUACCUAUACUACAAUCAACAACGCUUUAUAAAUUACACUUGAGAUGCAGUUGAAGGAUUAGCGGAACAACUGACAGCUACCAUGGCCUGGCAAAAUCGCAUGGACUUGGACAUGCUAAUGACUGAGAAGGGAGGGGUGUGUGUAAUGUUUGGGGAACAAUGUUGCACCUUCAUCCCCAACAACACUGCUCCGGAUGGGUCAGUGUCAAGAGCCCUAGCAGGUCUCACCUCCCUGUCUAUCGAACUGGCCUUCAGAACACAGUAUGACCAGCGAGAGGAGGAGGAUAAGGAGGCGAAGAGUCUGCUGCUAGCACUAGAGAAGGAAGAAAUAGUAUAAAUCAAAAAUUGCGUAGCAAAAGAAAAUGGGUGGAUUGUGAGGAAAGGGUUAAUAGGGAUAAUAGAUUUAGACUAGGACUAAAAAAAUAUAGCUGAGGAAGAAAUAGUGAGCUGUCAGCACUAAAACCAGACUGCGCUAGGAUAGAUAGUAACAAUAAAAGAACAGGCAGAGACUUUCAAGGUUGAGAAAUUAACAGAUAAAAACUUCAGCAGAAGCCUUUAAGGGAACUAGAGGAAAGGGGAAAAUGCUCUGUAUCACGCAUGCGUAAUGAGAAACAUGAAUAUGAAGACAACACCCACUAUGACAAGAUGCCUCAUUUAAAUGCACAUGCGAUGGAUGAUGUGAGAGGUAACUUUGAUGUCGAGAGGUGUUCCAAGACGUUCUUGUGGGAAUGUAAACCUUAGUGCUCUGAUUGGAAGGAGCCCGAAGGGGAGGAAAAGGGUGUGACAAUUGUAAACUGAAAUGAAUAAAAGUGAAGAGCAUCUCCAUCCUCGUCGUGUCUCUAGGGGGCGAUAGAGAGAGACACCCAAUUCUGCAGAAUUGAAACUUGGAAAAUAAAGAACUUCGUUGUCUGA
Long non-coding RNA from Leucoraja erinaceus (little skate), 1891 nucleotides. RefSeq lists it as uncharacterized. The record is from RefSeq and is a predicted model, not a curated record. The transcript is spliced from 2 exons. NCBI's taxonomy places the organism in Eukaryota, Metazoa, Chordata, Chondrichthyes, Rajiformes, Rajidae.